GCCUACGGGAGGCAGCAGUGGGGAUUAUUGGACAAUGGGCGCAAGCCUGAUCCAGCCAUGUCGCGUGUGUGAAGAAGGCCUUAGGGUUGUAAAGCACUUUCAGUGGGGAGAAAGGUGAUUCACCUAAUACGUGAGUCAAUUGAUGUUACCCACAGAAGAAGCACCGGCUAACUCCGUGCCAGCAGCCGCGGUAAU
RNAcentral lists this ribosomal RNA (195 nucleotides) under uncultured Gammaproteobacteria bacterium. Its description in RNAcentral is "partial 16S ribosomal RNA". It matches the Rfam family "Bacterial small subunit ribosomal RNA", at positions 337 to 524 of the family's 1533-position model. Lineage: Bacteria; Pseudomonadati; Pseudomonadota; Gammaproteobacteria. The record is from RNAcentral.